UACGAGGGGAGCUAGCGUUAUUCGGAAUUACUGGGCGUAAAGCGCACGUAGGCGGCUUUGUAAGUAAGAGGUGAAAGCCCAGAGCUCAACUCUGGAACUGCCCUUGAGACUGAGGGACUUGGGUACGGGAGAGGUGAGUGGAAUUCCGAGUGUAGAGGUGAAAUUCGUAGAUAUUCGGAAGAACACCAGUGGCGAAGGCGGCUCACUGGACUGGUAUUGACGCUGAGGUGCGAAAGCGUGGGGAGCAAACAGG
RNAcentral lists this ribosomal RNA (253 nucleotides) under uncultured bacterium. Its description in RNAcentral is "partial 16S ribosomal RNA". It matches the Rfam family "Bacterial small subunit ribosomal RNA", at positions 524 to 776 of the family's 1533-position model. The record is from RNAcentral.